AGGGGCAAUGCAUAGAGUGAGUGCAGUGUAAUUGGCAGUGUAUGCAGUGACAGUGAAUGCAGUGAGUGCAGUGUAAUUAGCAGUGUAUGCAGUGAGUGCACUGUAAUUAGCAGUGCAUACAGUGAGUGCAGUGUAUAGGGACAGUGCAUACAGUGAGUGCAGUGUAAUUAUCAGUGCAUAGAGUGAGUGCAGUGUACAGGGGCAGUGCAUACAGUGAGUGCAGUGUGCAGGGGCAGUGCAUGCAGUGAGUGCACUGUAAUUAGCAGUGUAUGCAGUGAGUG
Non-coding RNA from Pelobates cultripes (western spadefoot toad), 281 nucleotides. The record is from the annotation of a GenBank genome assembly. Lineage: Eukaryota; Metazoa; Chordata; Amphibia; Anura; Pelobatidae.